ACUCAAAGGAAUUGACGGGGGCUCACACAAGCGGUGGAGGAUGUGGCUUAAUUCGAGGCUACGCGAAGAACCUUAUCCAGGCCUUGACAUGUACGGAUGCUGCCCGUGAAAGCGGGUUAGUUGCCUUCGGGUGAAACGUGCACAGGUGCUGCAUGGCUGUCGUCAGCUCGUGUCGUGAGAUGUCGGGUUAAGUCCCUUAACGAGCGAAACCCUUGUCUUUAGUUGCCAGCGAGUAAUGUCGGGGACUCUAAAGAGACUGCCGGUGUUAAACCGGAGGAAGGUGGGGAUGACGUCAAGUCCUCAUGGCCUUUAUGGUCUGGGCUGCACACGUCCUACAAUGGCAUAUACAAAGGGAUGCUACCUCGCGAGAGCAAGCAAAUCCCAAAAAGUAUGCCCCAGUUCGGAUUGCAGGCUGCAACUCGCCUGCAUGAAGCCGGAAUCGCUAGUAAUCGUGGAUCAGCAUGCCACGGUGAAUAUGUUCCUGAGCCUUGUACACACCGCCCGU
Molecule: ribosomal RNA, 505 nt
Filed under: uncultured bacterium
Lineage: Bacteria
Description: partial 16S ribosomal RNA
Rfam family: Bacterial small subunit ribosomal RNA
Source: RNAcentral